This 460-nucleotide ribosomal RNA is filed under the name uncultured bacterium. Its description in RNAcentral is "partial 16S ribosomal RNA". It matches the Rfam family "Bacterial small subunit ribosomal RNA", at positions 338 to 795 of the family's 1533-position model. The record is from RNAcentral.
CCUACGGGUGGCAGCAGUGAGGAAUAUUGGUCAAUGGUCGAGAGCCUGAACCAGCGAAGUCGCGUGAAGGAUGAAGGCUCUAUGGGUUGUAAACUUCUUUUAUGUGGGGAUAAAAUGCGGCACGUGUUCCUUUUUGUAUGUACCGUAUGAAUAAGCAUCGGCUAACUCCGUGCCAGCAGCCGCGGUAAUACGGAGGCUGCGGGCGUUAUCCGGAUUUAUUGGGUUUAAAGGGUGCGUAGGUGGUACGUUAAGUCAGCCGGGAAAGGUCGUGGCUCAACCAUAACACUGCGGUGGAAACUGGGUGACUUGAGUGCAUGUGAGGUAGGCGGAAUGCGUGGUGUAGCGGUGAAAUGCAUAGAUAUCACGAAGAACUCCGAUUGCGAAGGCAGCUUACUAAACUGUAACUGACACUGAAGCACGAAAGCGUGGGGAUCAAACAGGAUUAGAUACCCGGGUAGUC